ACUUUAAGUAUCCUAAAGGGUUGUUCGAGACUAGAACGUUGAUAGGCAGGGUGUGUAAGCGUUGUGAGGCGUUGAGCUAACCUGUACUAAUUACCCGUGAGGCUUAACCAU
This 111-nucleotide ribosomal RNA is filed under the name Vibrio cholerae. RNAcentral describes it as "partial 23S ribosomal RNA". It matches the Rfam family "Bacterial large subunit ribosomal RNA", at positions 2819 to 2925 of the family's 2925-position model. Lineage: Bacteria; Pseudomonadati; Pseudomonadota; Gammaproteobacteria; Vibrionales; Vibrionaceae. The record is from RNAcentral.